Piliocolobus tephrosceles (Ugandan red Colobus) is the source of this 1621-nucleotide long non-coding RNA. The record is from Ensembl. Lineage: Eukaryota; Metazoa; Chordata; Mammalia; Primates; Cercopithecidae.
CCCGCCUCUCCCUGACACUGUCCCCACACUGUACCCACCUGUCCCUGACACUGUCUUCUGUGUUGUCCACAUGCUGUCACUACCCUGGCCCUGCUCUCCAUGUCCAGGCCUGGGGGCAGGCAGUGUAGACACCCUGGCACCUGGGUGGCCUGAAAGGCAGAUGGGCCUCGGGGGCAGGACUGUGGCCUCGGCAGUCUGAGGGGUGGGUGGGACUUAGGGGCAGGGCUGUGUCCUCAGUGGCCUGAGGGGUGGGUGAGCCUCAGGGGCAGGGCCGUGGCCUCUCUCACCCCUGCGCUGUGCCUGCCUGCAGGUGAAGUGGAUCUUCUCCUCGGUGGUGGACCUGAAGCAGACCAUCGUCCCCGACUACAGGAACAUGAUCGGGCAGGGGCCCUAGGGUCACCCACUGUGGGGUGUCCAGGGCCGCCCAGACCCCACACAGGAGCCAAGGGCCAUGCUUAGCCACCACCCAGGCCACACCUGCCCCUGACCUCACCGCCCUCAACCCCAUGGCUCUCUGACCUCCCAGUUGCCCUCUGACCCCUGACAUGCCCCCCUUCCAGACCCUGUGCAUAGCAGGUCUACCCCAGACCUCCGCUGCUUGGUGCAUGCAGGGCACUGGGGGCCAGGUGUCCCCUCAGCAGGACAUCCCUGCCCUCUGGCCAACCAGGUGCUCACACAAAAGGAGGCAGUAGCCGGCAUACCAGGCGCCUAACCAGGCAGGAGCUGGCCCUGGAGCCAACCCCGUCCACGCCAGAAUCCUGAACACAGGUGUGGUUUCCACAUGGUGAGUGGGAGCAUCAGCCACCAAGAGGGUCUCGGUGCCAGCACCGCCCCUUGGCUGCCUGUCCACGCUGCUGGAUUCUCGGGUGGAACUCGACCCACAGGGACAGCCAGCCCCAGAGUCUGCACUGGGGAGAGGAGGGACCAGGCCCAGGACAUGGCCACCUCCCACCCACUCCACCGAGAUCACUCAGAGAAGAGCCUGGGCCACGUGGUCGCUGCAGGAGCCCUACAGGGCAAGGCUGAGGACAGCCCAAGGAAGGGGUGGGCAUCUGCCCAGACAGGUCUCCCAGAGGAGGCCUGGUGACCAGGUCCCAGGCAGGCAAGACUCAGCUUUGGUGGGACCUGAGGACAGAGGAGGCCCAGGAGCACCGGGGAGAGAAGUGGAGGGACACCAGGAGAGCCAGGAGCGUGAACACAGCACAACUCAUCACAGAGGCUGAAGUCCAGCCCCAAGUCACGUGCAGCAGGAACAAGCAGCCACUCUGGGGGCAUGAGGUGGAGACGCAAGACGGCAAAGAGGGUGCCCGUGGCCUUGGGAAAGCGGGGCUGCUGGCCACGACUGCUGGACAGAGGCUCCCACGCUCUGCUGCCCGCGUCACGCCGUUCGGUGAAUGUCACACAGAAUCCGCAGACAGGAUGGGAGGCACGAGCGGGAGCGCGGCAAACGCCUGCCUCAGCCGUCAGGGAGGAUUCCCGGGCUCACUGGAAGGAGGUGCCACGAUUUCAGCUUUGGUCGCUUUUUUCUUCUUUUAAAUUUUCUAAAGCUCAUUAAUCGUCUUUAAUGUUUCUCGUUUUUGAUGACAAUAAAAUAUCCUUUUUAAGUCUUGUACUUUGUGAU